UGGGGGGGCACAAAAGGAUGCUGAGACGCACACAAGGGGCAGGCUCCCUUUGACUUCCUGAACUGGGGAGCGAACACAAUCACUCCCAGCUCCAAAAAAGAGCCAGAGAUUGCAGGAUACACACAAACCCCAUGAGCCACCAGGAGCAGGGCCCAGCCAGGCUGGCAUCCAGGCGGACACACUUGAGUGGAUCACAGAUCGCCAGGAGAUAGCGGCACCCAGGGAGCACUCAGAGACGGGCCAGCCCUCCCACAGCUCAGCGUCCCACCAGCCUGGCUCUGCCAAAAAUCAGAGCCCUUGAGAACGCCUGGAGAAGCCCUGAAACACGAGAUUAAGGAUUCAACAUCACCCCAUCAAUUCCUCUCCCUCAGCAGCUCCUGCGGCCACCCUCCUGCACAAGAACAAGGAAGGAGAGGACACAUCCCAGCCUGGAGGUGACCCACAUGGCACCCCAGACACACAACCGCUUUGCACUGUCCUGCUGCAGGACAUCCCUUUUCAUUAGGGACAGUUCAGCAUGCCUGCUCACCCCACUGGCUGCCCAAUUUGCAAUGCCUGCCCCAGCGCACCAAUGGGAGUCUACACCAGAAGAGCUGCACUAUGAUCUGAUCAGCCUGUUUGAUAUUGCAGUGCCUGGUUCAAUGCCCAUUGAAAUCAAAGGCCCCUUCAUCUCAUCAGGCACCAAAUCUCAGCCCCGCUCCCUCCAGCUGAGCACAACCAUCCCGUUGUCGCCAGGCGCCCCAGCAGCUUGGGCCACCACUACAUAAUUAGAAGGCGUAAUGCUGGGUUUAACCAACGCACCGACACGGCUUCUUCUUAACAGUUGUGAAUAAUUUCCCCUGGCUUUGGAAUUCCAUUGCAGAGAGAGUUCAAGAAGCUAUUCAAAGCUUCAGGAACCACUCGUAUCUGCGGAUCUCAAAGCGUUGCAGAGACAGCAAUGCACUGCAGUGCAGGUCUCCUUGGAGAGGUGGAGUGGGGCUUCACACCAAGUGGAAAUGGAAGUACAGGGAGAACACUUUGGGUCUAUCCCAAAAAGUCCCAGUGCCCAAUCGUCAUCAUGCUCUCACACAGUGGAUGCAAGCGAGAAAUAACUACCUUGAGGAGGAGAGCAGGAAUCCAACCUGCUUCAUCCAGGCUGCCAUCUGAGGGGCUAUUCACUUUUCUUUUGCUUGUUCAGGAGCAGAGCCACCCGAGUUAGUGGGCACAUCAGUGCUUGGCUCUGUGGGACCUAAGGCUGAAAGGCUAUGCAGGAAGGGAAGCACAAACCAGAGACUGCUCCAUGCCACACAGACAGCUCAGGAUCAUUGCUGGGAGCCUGAUGUAUCGUGGGGAGAAAGGGGGCGUGGGAUCCCAACCUCACUGUCCGCAUGGAGAUGUGAGAGGCAGCGGGAAAACAUUCACCAGGAUGGGCUCAUCGCCAGCUUUGGGGUCUGCCUGAUCCCAGGAACCCCAUAGGGUCAAUAGAAGUCACUUCCCAUCCCACUCUGCUGAGAGAAGGAAAAUCCCAUCAACAAAUAAAGAAAUGCAUAAAACAAAGCACCGAGGCUGGCAGAAGGGAGAAGAGCCCCACGCCAAGCACACGCAGCAUGUCUCAUCAGACAGGACUGUGGAGGAGCAGCAGGAACAGCAAACAGAGGACUCUGCAGCAACGGCACCGGGAGCUGCGGGGUGGAUGGUUUAUAGGCCAAAAAGUGGCUUUAUAAAACCGGAUCUUUAAAUAUUUGCUCCGACGUGGCUUCCAAGUCCCAUCUGCUGCAGCAGUUAAGCUCUCGCAGCCCUCGCACGUGGCGGUGCCUGUGUGCAGUGUGUCCCUGCUCCAAAGGCAACGCUGACAUCCCUGUUGAAACCUGAGGAGAAGAAGAAACAGGUUAUUCCUUUCCCACUUCUCAAAGGGGAGUGAUACAGCAAGAUAGCCAAAUGACAGAAUCUAUUCCUUUUGGUGACAGUGGACACGGCAAUAUCUGAACAAGCAGUGAGAAGUGGGGCUUCAGGAGCCCACAUUAGAGGGACAGAAGGACGUGCACACCAAAUAAGCUCAUGUCCUGCAUAGCUCUGAACACGAAAGGCCUCGAGACUCUGAAUCAGGCCCUCAGAGCUCCUUCCAAACCCACCCGUCUGUUCCUUUCAGCAGCUCCAGACCUGCAAAUCGUGCGUCAUCGUGCAAGGGGAGCACACAGUGCAACAGAAGAGCUUCUGCAUCAGCCAUUGCCGCUGACUCCUUAGCAAGGGCUUUUUAAUGGGUUUUUCUGCAGAACUCCCCCAGUGUUUUUGCAAAAGCAGCAGCCCCCAGCUCCACACAGCCCCACAUGCCCUGCUCCCUCCUGCAGGGGAUUCUAGAGGGUCCUGUAAAUGACUCUCUCUGCACAGCCCCCACCCCCAGCUCCUGGUGCCUGUUUGCCCCAUUCAGGGGCAGUCCCUCCCAGGAACAGCCCAGCACCAUGCAGGGAGCAAAGGAGUGCAAUUCAGGCACAAUUUCCAGCCCCUCACAUGCUCUGACCCUGCCCACGUCCCAGCUCUUUCACCAGCUCAAGUCACAAUGUUCCUUUACCUCUAGGAGAAGCAUCCAGCCAUAGUUAGCUGGGUAGCC
This 2587-nucleotide long non-coding RNA is filed under the name Gallus gallus (chicken). RNAcentral's name for it is "long non-coding RNA NONGGAT003094". The record is from RNAcentral. Lineage: Eukaryota; Metazoa; Chordata; Aves; Galliformes; Phasianidae.